Molecule: long non-coding RNA, 2219 nt
Organism: Homo sapiens (human)
Lineage: Eukaryota; Metazoa; Chordata; Mammalia; Primates; Hominidae
Source: Ensembl
AUAAAACUGCUCGUAGCUGCAUAUUAUCUACCGAACUUAGGUGGAUUCUCAGAAAGAAAAAGGUGAUGUUCACUGGCAUGAACAGUGAAUGGUGGAGUGGAACGUGAACAGGCUGGAGCUCUGGCUGUGCCAUUUAUUAGCCAUGUGCCUUUAGAAGGUCCUCAUCUUCUCCAGCCUCAGUUUCACCAUCUGUAAUGGAGUAUCCAUGACCCAGAGAGAGUAUCAGUGUCAAGAAUCUGCCAGUGAGAAAGUGAUUUGAAGCAGCUCUGGAGUUCAGAUGGCCACGGGUGCAAGUGCCUGCUCUGGUGUGCUUUGCCUCUGGAAAGAUGCCAAGUCUUUGAGAAUCUUUGCUGCAUCAGCCAUGCUACAUCCUGAGGACUUGGAGCCAAACUCCUUGCAGUAUUUGUCUACACAACCUGUCUCUACUUCCUCACCUCCCACUCAAUCCUCCUGAUGGUGCAGCCUUUAAAAACCGUGUUGAAUACUUGGAGUCUGGAAGAAGCAAGGUAAAGAGAGCAAAGGUUAUUUUCACCCUGAAGAGACAGCCUUUAGAGAAGUACAGCCAGGGAGUGAUCGAGUCCCCUAACAAAGACACUUUGGUGAACCAAGAAUGGGAUGGCCCCGACUAGAGUUGGUCUUCACUGCCAGAUGUCCAAUCUAUCUUCACAGCACAUUGGGCAGAACCCACAGUUCUCUCAUCUCAUGACAUACAUGCAUGCAGAUCCCUCCUGAAUUAUGAGCCCUUUUCCUGGCAGCACCAGACUCCAGAUCAAGCCUAGUACAGCCAGAGCCAGUCUCUCUGUGCCCUUCCAAUCAACAGCCUUCUCUGCAAUAAGGAGGGGACCCAUGGCUUCAGUGAGGCCCAAGCAAUACCAAGAAGAGAAGAAGGAUAUGAAGAAAAACACCAUAAAUAGGAUUUCUGAUGUCCAUUUUAUAGAUGAAGAAGGAAGGUUUAGCAAGGCCAUUCAAGGAUACACAGCUAGAGGACGAGAUGGAAUUGAAGUCCCUUUGUCAGCAUCCUUUUCAUUCUUGAUGCCAUUUCAUUUCCCCUCCUGGAAAGCCUUCCCACUCCAAGAGAAAAACUAUUAUACAAAUGAUACAACCUGCUAUGGAAAAAAGAGAAAUAACAGAUAAGUAUACAAAGAAAAUACAAGAAAAACAUGAACAGUAAUAAUCUUAUCCAAAUGUUACUGAGAUAUUUUUGGAGUACUUAAUUUCAAUCUUUUUCCUAUAUGCAAACACACACAACUUUUCUCUAACAAAAAUCAGAUCAUACUGUACUAGCAAACACCCUACCUGAAAUCUGUAUAUCCAUUGCCUAUUGAUUAUGCCCAUUGCUUAACAUACUAUGUUUUAUUUAAUCAUUAUUUAAUUGUUGAGUAUGCAAGUUAUUUCUGAGUUUUCACUCAAGCUGUUUACGCUUAUUUCUGUCUGGGUGUGAAUGAAUCUUUGGCACAUUCCUCUAGCAAGUUGAUCAACAUCUGGUCUAAGAUAUUCUUCGGUGUUGGGUUUGUGCUGUCCACAUCAGCUUAGCAAUGUCUGCACAAAGACUCCUUCCCCCUCAAAAGUGCCAUUCAGACUUGCUGUGGGUAUAAGGGGAACAAUCUCAUUGAGGAGAAAGUUGUCAUUGUGGUUGAGAACAUGAACUUUGGAAUUGGAUAGAGCUGUGUGAAUUUGGCCUAAACUCCGAGUCUGCUUCCACAUCUGUAAAAUGUAGACACAAAUAGUUACUCAUAAGGUUCUGGUGGGGAUUAAAUGUGGUUAUACCUGUAAAGUCCUUAGCAUUAUGCCCAGCACAUAGUGAAGAUGUUCGAUAAAUGAUAACUAAACAAACAUUGUGUCCCCUCCCACUACAACCACACUGCUCUCCCUCACCUUACAGACUUUGCUGCUUGACAAUCUUGGGGUGGGGCUGCUGAAAACUGAAUCUCAAUUUAGGAAGCCAUGUUGUCCCAGGAUUAGGGUUAUUGGCCUCACAUAAGAAUCUCCAAAUCUGCAGAAUCUCAGGCCCCACCCAAAAACUAUUCAAUCAGAAACUACAUUUUCAAAAGAUAUCCCAGAUGAUUUGUAUGCAUAGUAAAGUUUGAGAAGGUUUUAGUCCAGGUAUUCAGGAAGUGAUGCUGGUUGUGUAUGGAGGACAGGGGCCCAGGAACUGAUGAAAUCUCUAGUUUGGAAUUCUCGAUAGCAUUUGCAUUCUUUUUUUUUUUUUUUAUCUCAAA